AAUUUAUUCUAUUCAAUAAAAUUUAUUUAUUUGUUCAUCCCUGGGAUUUUCUUUCUAUUGUAUGUAAUUGUCAUGUUUCAUUGGCUUUUGUGCAUAUGCUCAUAGAAGAGUGGAUGUCCUUUAUGGGAGAUUAUUUAUAGUAAUUACUUUUGGCCAUAGUCCUUUGGUUUGUAUACAGUUUUGGUCAUAUUAAAUUGCGUUGUUUUUGUUUACAUUAGGUCAGCAUUCAUUUGUUUGUAUAACUUGGUAAAACGUUUUGUAUGUUGAUUGAUGUGACUUGUUUUGAUAUUUUAUUUACAAAUGUUUAUUUUGCAUUAUUUUACUGCCUCAUGACAUACUUUUACAUGGCUUUAAUUAUAUUAUACGUGUAUGUUAUAUUCAAAUCCUGUUGCGGUUUGUGAUUUUGACUACUUCUCUCCAUUGGCGUUUGUUUAGUAGCCAUGGAGAUCAGAACCAUUUAAGCUGUACAUCAAGGGUCUUCUUCCUUUGCCCUCAAGUAAUCCAUUGAACGACACAUGUUGGUCUUUACUUCCUGUAGUCCUUCACUGUUGCUAUUUAUUCAGAACACAAGCAGUCCGUGCUACUUAUGUAAAUACUCGCUGGGUGACCAAUAAACAUACUCCUUGACUGCACCAGCACUUAAUAUCCCCAUCAACUGAAAGCCAUCCAAACUGCAACACCUGGUGGCCGAAUUAGAAUCACUGGAACUGUCUAUUCUAGGACCAAGUGAGUCUGCUUCUAUCAAAGCUAGCAUUCUCUACCUAGCGUGUUCCUGUUGAUACAUAACUUGGACUUUGUCCUAGGAGGGAGUUUAUUGUGCAACCUGUCACCCAGUGAACCCAUUUCACUCCCUUUGAGGUAUUAAGAUGAUGCCAUAGUUUUGAUAUUUGCAUUUUUUACUGGACCAUCAGUUUUUGUUUUUUGUAAAUUAGCAUUAGUCAAUUUUUUUUUUUUUUUAAAUCAAUCAAUUUUAUUGGCUUUUAACAAAAAAAUAGAAUUUAUUUUCCAUACACUGUAUAGUGAAUACAUCAUGUGUUAUUACAACAUUUAAAGAUUUAAUUUACUUUAAUUGCUGCGGUUCUUACAAAAAAAAAAAAAAAUUUGGCAUAGGGUGUGUAAGAUUUCUGUACCACUAAAGGGUAGCUGCAUCAGCAGAGGAUUGUUUUGAGCGGCUGUUUGGUGGAUAUAGCACAAGACUAUUUAGGCUUUUUGUUUUAUUACCAAUAGCAUAGUUACAAUUAUAUCUAGUUAUGCAAAAAUGUACGUAUAAAAACAGAGUAAUGCUUUCUCCCUCAAGAUAUUGAUAUCUCGCUCCGGAUAUCAAGAGUUAACACUAUAUUUUGUGAACAAGCUUUUUAAGAGAAUUUGGUUGUCCUUU
This is a non-coding RNA of Pelobates cultripes (western spadefoot toad), 1378 nucleotides long. NCBI's taxonomy places the organism in Eukaryota, Metazoa, Chordata, Amphibia, Anura, Pelobatidae. The record is from the annotation of a GenBank genome assembly.